CGCGCAGGCGGUUUGGUAAGUCGGAUGUGAAAACCCGGAGCUCAACUCCGGGCCUGCAUCCGAUACUGCCCGACUAGAGGUAGGUAGGGGAGAUCGGAAUUCCUGGUGUAGCGGUGAAAUGCGCAGAUAUCAGGAGGAACACCGGUGGCGAAGGCGGAUCUCUGGGCCUUACCUGACGCUCAGGCGCGAAAGCUAGGGGAGCGAACA
RNAcentral lists this ribosomal RNA (207 nucleotides) under uncultured bacterium. RNAcentral's name for it is "partial 16S ribosomal RNA". It matches the Rfam family "Bacterial small subunit ribosomal RNA", at positions 568 to 774 of the family's 1533-position model. The record is from RNAcentral.